Molecule: transfer RNA, 96 nt
Filed under: Candidatus Opimibacter skivensis
Lineage: Bacteria; Pseudomonadati; Bacteroidota; Saprospiria; Saprospirales; Saprospiraceae
Description: tRNA-OTHER
Rfam family: tRNA
About the family: Transfer RNA (tRNA) molecules are approximately 80 nucleotides in length. Their secondary structure includes four short double-helical elements and three loops (D, anti-codon, and T loops).
Source: RNAcentral
AACUCCGUAGCUCAGCUGGGUAGAGCAUCCCGGCUUGCACGAUUUUCAUGAAAAUCCAGAGACCCGGGAGGGCCCCAGGUUCGAGUCCUGGCGGGG